GAUUGAUUUUGGUCGCCAACGAGUGGCGGACGGGUGAGUAACACGUAGGUAACCUGCCCAGAAGCGGGGGACAACAUUUGGAAACAGAUGCUAAUACCGCAUAACAGCGUUGUUCGCAUGAACAACGCUUAAAAGAUGGCUUCUCGCUAUCACUUCUGGAUGGACCUGCGGUGCAUUAGCUUGUUGGUGGGGUAACGGCCUACCAAGGCGAUGAUGCAUAGCCGAGUUGAGAGACUGAUCGGCCACAAUGGGACUGAGACACGGCCCAUACUCCUACGGGAGGCAGCAGUAGGGAAUCUUCCACAAUGGGCGCAAGCCUGAUGGAGCAACACCGCGUGAGUGAAGAAGGGUUUCGGCUCGUAAAGCUCUGUUGUUAAAGAAGAACACGUAUGAGAGUAACUGUUCAUACGUUGACGGUAUUUAACCAGAAAGUCACGGCUAACUACGUGCCAGCAGCCGCGGUAAUACGUAGGUGGCAAGCGUUAUCCGGAUUUAUUGGGCGUAAAGAGAGUGCAGGCGGUUUUCUAAGUCUGAUGUGAAAGCCUUCGGCUUAACCGGAGAAGUGCAUCGGAAACUGGAUAACUUGAGUGCAGAAGAGGGUAGUGGAACUCCAUGUGUAGCGGUGGAAUGCGUAGAUAUAUGGAAGAACACCAGUGGCGAAAGCGGCUACCUGGUCUGCAACUGACGCUGAGACUCGAAAGCAUGGGUAGCGAACAGGAUUAGAUA
Molecule: ribosomal RNA, 726 nt
Filed under: Limosilactobacillus fermentum
Lineage: Bacteria; Bacillati; Bacillota; Bacilli; Lactobacillales; Lactobacillaceae
Description: bacterial SSU rRNA
Rfam family: Bacterial small subunit ribosomal RNA
Source: RNAcentral